Non-coding RNA from Pelobates cultripes (western spadefoot toad), 224 nucleotides. NCBI's taxonomy places the organism in Eukaryota, Metazoa, Chordata, Amphibia, Anura, Pelobatidae. The record is from the annotation of a GenBank genome assembly.
AGGCUUGGAGUGUUCGUUACAGUAUGUUACAGUAUUUUACAGAGAAAGUUGUUAACAUAUUACAAAAAUAUUUUAGAAAAAUCUCAUUUAUUUCAAAAGAAUUCAACAUAAGCACAACUGCAUUGAAUAUUUGAAUUUAGUGGACUUAAAAAAAACCAUAGUUGUUUUUAGUGGACUAAUCUACAUCUUAAAAUAAUGCAUUUUUUCAGAAAUUACAAGUGAUC